CAUUUUAAAAUGAUGAGGCCCAACUCCAUUAAAAGAAAAGAGAGCCCAACAAUUAUACUCCAUCCUCUACAAUCGGUCAACUCCUCUCCUUCCACCUCAAAACAUCCGCCACCCCCAAAUCUCAACACAAACCCCAAUUCACCGUCGCCUUCUCUGAAUUCGUCGGGAAUGGCUACUGCUUCCACCACCGUCGAUUUCCGAUUCAAACCGCAGUUCUCCUCCUUCCGGGAUACAUCCGCCGUCGUCUACACACCGUCACCACUUCACCAAUCGCAGCCUCUGCAGCGAGAGGAAAGGGCGGUAGCCGUCCCUCCGUCGCUGCCACUGUCCAGCCGAGCCGCCUUCGCCGUCAGACGCCGCUGCUCCGUCGGCGGUCGUGCACCUCGCCGUUCUCCAAUUCACCGCUGCCGGUGUCUGCUCGCUGUUCGGCAGCCCCCAAAACAAGACCGAACAGCCCCGAAACAACUCCGAACAGCCCCGAAACGAACCCGAACUACCCCGAUUCAACCCGCAAGAUAAGUUCUCUCUACCAAGAUAUGUUCUUUCGUAUUUUCCGAUUAAUCACAGCGGGUUCAAUUCGUGAAAGUUCGAUUGGUUGUGUUCGAUUUAUGUUAUUGAUAGAAUUACUUGUGGGGAGAUUGGUGUAUGAUGCUAAUAUGCUAAAUGUUCAUGCUUUGGAUUUGGGUAGAAAUUAUACCUCAGUGAAUAGAACUCGGUUGUGGAGUUUGUAAGGCCAAAAAGAUGAGUUCCUUGACAGAUACUGAAUGUUAAAUGUUCAUGCUUUGGAUUUGGGUAGAAAUUUUACAUUUGUUUGAUUUCAAUACAAGUGGUGAGAGUUUGAUAUACUGAAGUGACCUGAGAAGAGAGAUAAUGUGAUGUAUGCGUGAUGUGUGUGUGCAGGUGCAGAUUAAACAGCUACAGAGGAUUUACUCAACCGCUACGCCCAGUAAAUCUCAGUCUAGCUGAAUAUGUCGUUGGGACACUCUCAAUCGCUUCAAAACCUUAACCCAUUUACUAUUGGCUAGUAUAGGGUAGUAAGGAUUGAUCUCAAAGAGACGGAAGGGGUUAGCAAAUGUUCAGAGAAUUUGAAAGGGGUUGGCUGUUGCCACGCAACUCAUGUGUUAAGACUUGUUUAACUACUAGACUCCGAGAAAUUUAAAGGUAACUAAUCUACCUACUAGACCUAGGAAACAGGAAAAGGGACAUACGCAUGGAAACAGGAAAAGGGACAUACGCAUGCAUGGCUAACGGCAAUGAAAUUUAACUACAUAAUUCAGAUAACUAAACUACUGGGUCAAGCAAACGGAUUUCUGAAAACAGCUGAACAAUGCGUAAACAUGCCGUGGGGACCAUUUUCUGAAAAACUGCAGAAAGUAAACAACGGCCAGCGGCAGAUCAGACUUCUAACUAACUUCUAACUUCAUCUUCAUCUUCAUCUUCAUCUUCAUCUUCUUCAACGAUACACACAAACACAAACGAAAACAGAGCAUCAAACAUGUGAAAACAGAGCAAUCUCAGAUCUGACCUCAAACAUUACGAUUAAGCAUAAAAACUACUAGAUCUAAACUACUAGGCCGGGCAAAAUAAGUAAAAAACAGUAAAUAUCCAUAAUCAUGCAAAUCAGAACUUCACGUCUCAGAUCCACAACUCUGAUCAACAAUUCAACUCAAAUCAACAAAAACCAACUCCGAUUACAUUCAGAUCCAUACUCCUCAAUUCAGAUUCAGCCGAGUCAACAAUAAAUCAACUCCUAUCUCGACUCCAAAUCAAACACCAAUUGCAAAAAACAUCCAAAUCAGUAAAAACCAACAAUCAAACAUCAAGCAACUGAAUAGUACACAGAAACUUCCAUAGCCACGAAAUUAAGGUUCAACACAGAAAUAUUAAACGCCGAACUUCCAAUAGAAGAAGUUCACGACGAGCAAAAAUAAAGAAAUUGUAUCUUCGCCCUUCGUAAGGACGGUGUUACACCAUGGAAACUGAACUAGACCACCCUAAACUCCCAGAAUUACCCCAUUGAUGUUAAGUGCGCAGAGAAAUAUGUGUGUGAAGUGAAGAGGAACGAGCUAAGAGCGAAAAGUGAAUGUGUGAGAAUGAUGAUGACUCUCUUCAUGAUUGUAUCUCUAUUUAUAGUUGAGGCUCGGACUCCUAUGGUACUCUCCCUUUAUGAUUUGUCACUUUUGUCCUUACUAGAAGAUCCUUCAAAAGAUGCUUUUCCGCUCACAGCUGUUUCCGCCUUUGCUCCUGUAAUCCUCUGGGUCAGGUUGCAAGUUGGCUUCUUCACUCCAUUUUCCUUCGAUUUCCUCUGCCUGGUAAAUUUUCCAUCCGCUCCCUGGGUCUGGCAGAUUCUCUACGCACCUAAACUUAUAAAUGUAUGUUAGUUCAUGAAUAUCACAGAAUUUAACCCCAUAACCGAUGCAUGAAAUGAGCCUUAUCAUAUACGAAUUGAUGAAAUGGAUUACCUAGUUUGGAACUGAAUUGAGAAUUCAGCAGCUCUUCGAAUUCUCGGUUUCCGUCGUGAAUCUUUUGAGAAUACUUCCAUGAGUUCUCGGUUGUCAAAGAAUUGGAAAACGAAAGCAAAAUGGAACGGAUAUUACCGUGACUUGGAAUGGCAGAAACUUGGAAAUCAAAAGCUCUUCUACUUGAAGAGGUCACCUUAAAGUAGACGACGCCCACAACCGGUCUACUAAAACAAAGACUUAGACUUUGUUAAGUUACUUAUGUAUUUAAACAUGCAAUAAACAUCCAUUAAAUGUAAAAACUUAACAACAUUAUGACAAAAAUAAUCUGUUUUAUUUCUUGGAAAAUAAAAUAAGAGUUUUUACCGUAUUCAAUCAUUCGAAAGUUGAUUUCUAAUAUAUAAACUCUAACACUACUCUCCUUCUCUCUCGGCUCUCUCUCACUUUGUUUUGCUUGGAAAUGUAGAUUGUGAAAAGUGGGGAUGGAGAGUGAGACUGCCGUGAAUUAUGAGGGAGUAGAAUAUGGGAAUUCAAUUACCACUUAAUUGGGUGAUUAAUGGGUAAAUAGUGGCUGCAUUCAACCGUGAUAAACCCUCAUGAUUAUGAUUAAAUUUGGGUGUUUUAAUUUGCAGGUAACGGCUGGGAGAGUGGGAUGGAGAGUGAGACUGCCGUGAAUUAUGAGGGAGUAGAAUAUGGGAAUUCAAUUACCACUUAAUUGGGUGAUUAAUGGGUAACGGCUGGGAGAGUGGGAUGGAAGCUGGAGCAGAUUUUGAAGAGUAGGAGUUUUUGCUAGGAACGACAAUACCGUGAAGAAGAAAAGGAAAAGAAUUGGGUUCAAAAGAUCUCCCACAAUUUUAUUUGAUUUGAUCGAACUCAUUUAGUUGGAAAUGAGAGCCCAACUUGUAAUUAUUUAUUUGAUUUGGACUUCCAUUAUUUUCCAUGGCCCAAAGCCUUUUUGUAAAAUAAACAUUGGACUCUAUUUAAUUGCGAAGCCCAACCAUUUACUUUA
This is a long non-coding RNA of Salvia splendens (bonfire salvia), 3468 nucleotides long. RefSeq lists it as uncharacterized. The record is from RefSeq and is a predicted model, not a curated record. Lineage: Eukaryota; Viridiplantae; Streptophyta; Magnoliopsida; Lamiales; Lamiaceae. The transcript is spliced from 2 exons.